RNAcentral lists this ribosomal RNA (468 nucleotides) under uncultured bacterium. RNAcentral describes it as "partial 16S ribosomal RNA". It matches the Rfam family "Bacterial small subunit ribosomal RNA", at positions 28 to 507 of the family's 1533-position model. The record is from RNAcentral.
GACGAACGCUGGCGGUGUGCUUAACACAUGCAAGUCGAACGGUAAGGCCCUUUCGGGGGUACACGAGUGGCGAACGGGUGAGUAACACGUGAGUAACCUGCCCUCAUCUCUGGGAUAACAGUCGGAAACGGUUGCUAAUACUGGAUAUGAGCUUGCAAGGCAUCUUGUGGGUUGGAAAGAUUUUUUUUGGUUGGGGAUGGACUCGCGGCCUAUCAGCUUGUUGGUGAGGUAGUGGCUCACCAAGGCUUCGACGGGUAGCCGGCCUGAGAGGGCGACCGGCCACAUUGGGACUGAGAUACGGCCCAAACUCCUACGGGAGGCAGCAGUGGGGAAUAUUGCACAAUGGACGGAAGUCUGAUGCAGCAACGCCGCGUGCGGGAUGACGGCCUUCGGGUUGUAAACCGCUUUCAAUUGUGAAGAAGCUUUUUUGUGACGGUAGCAGUAGAAGAAGCACCGGCUAACUACGUG